GAUCAACGCUGGCGGCGUGCAUGAGACAUGCAAGUCGAACGAAGGAUCGGGCUUGCCCGGUCCUUAGUGGCGGACGGCUGAGUAACGCGUAGGUGACCUACCCCGACUUGGGGAAUAACGGCCCGAAAGGGUGGCUAAUACCGCAAGUGGUCGAACGUUCAUUCGGGCGAGUAAAGCCGCCAGGCGCUUCGGGCGGGGCCUGCGUCCGAUUAGCUCGUUGGGGGGGUAAUGGCGUACCAAGGCGACGAACGGUAGGUGGUCUGAGAGGACGGUCACCCAGACUGGGACUGAGACACAGCCCAGACUCCUGCGGGAGGCAGCAGUCGGGAAUUUUGCUCAAUGGGGGAAAUCCUGAAGCAGCAACGCCGCGUGAGGGAUGAAGGCCUUCGGGUUGUAAACCUCUUUUGUCAGGGACGAUGAUGACGGUACCUGGCGAAUAAGCCACGGCUAACUACGUG
Molecule: ribosomal RNA, 458 nt
Filed under: uncultured bacterium
Lineage: Bacteria
Description: partial 16S ribosomal RNA
Rfam family: Bacterial small subunit ribosomal RNA
Source: RNAcentral